RNAcentral lists this ribosomal RNA (468 nucleotides) under uncultured bacterium. Its description in RNAcentral is "partial 16S ribosomal RNA". It matches the Rfam family "Bacterial small subunit ribosomal RNA", at positions 28 to 507 of the family's 1533-position model. The record is from RNAcentral.
GACGAACGCUGGCGGCGUGCUUAACACAUGCAAGUCGAACGGAAAGGCCCUGCUUUUGUGGGGUGCUCGAGUGGCGAACGGGUGAGUAACACGUGAGUAACCUGCCCUUGACUUUGGGAUAACUUCAGGACACUGGGGCUAAUACCGGAUAGGAGCUCCUGCUGCUUGGUGGGGGUUGGAAAGUUUCGGCGGUUGGGGAUGGACUCGCGGCUUAUCAGCUUGUUGGUGGGGUAGUGGCUUACCAAGGCUUUGACGGGUAGCCGGCCUGAGAGGGUGACCGGCCACAUUGGGACUGAGAUACGGCCCAGACUCCUACGGGAGGCAGCAGUGGGGAAUAUUGCACAAUGGGCGGAAGCCUGAUGCAGCAACGCCGCGUGCGGGAUGACGGCCUUCGGGUUGUAAACCGCUUUCGCCUGUGACGAAGCGUGAGUGACGGUAAUGGGUAAAGAAGCACCGGCUAACUACGUG